RNAcentral lists this ribosomal RNA (411 nucleotides) under Tritia corniculum. RNAcentral's name for it is "partial 16S ribosomal RNA". It matches the Rfam family "Bacterial large subunit ribosomal RNA", at positions 1942 to 2563 of the family's 2925-position model. Lineage: Eukaryota; Metazoa; Mollusca; Gastropoda; Neogastropoda; Nassariidae. The record is from RNAcentral.
CUGACCGUGCAAAGGUAGCAUAAUCAUUUGCCUUAUAAUUGAAGGCUAGUAUGAAUGGUUUGACAUGAAUGUAGCUGUCUCUUUAUAAUUUAAUAGAAUUUUAUCUUAGGUGAAGAAGCCUGAAUUAAUUAAAAGACAAGAAGACCCUAUCGAGCUUGAAAAAAAUUGAUGGAAUUAAAGUCAAUAUAGUUAAAAGAUUAUCUAUCACAUAUUUUAGUUGGGGCGACUAAGGAACAUAAAAAGCUUCCUUUAAAAUAUUAGUUUAAGUCAAACUAGAAUUGAUCCAAAAUAUUUUGAUUAAAGGAAUUAGUUACCGUAGGGAUAACAGCAUUAUCUUUUUUAAGAGCUCAUAUCGAAAAAAAGGUUUGUGACCUCGAUGUUGGACCAGAAUAUCCUAAAGGUGCAGCAGCC